GUAAGGGAUAAAUUUUAUCGCUAUUUCAGACUUUUGUUACUCCUCUUCUUGGCUUCUCAGAUAAUCGCAUGGUUUGAUUUCGCCGUAAAGCCUUUUUGAAAUCUGACACAGCGGUUGGAUUAACAAGAAGUUUAUCUUUAAGCUGGUGUAUAACAUUUUUAUCUUUUAUGUAUGUUUAUUAUGAGAAUUUCCGUUUUGUUGAGUUUCACGCUCUGCAAUUUCACCGGAUGUUGUUUGAGACAGUGGAUUACUGAACAAAAUGCGCUAACAAAACGGAGGUUUUUGAAUAUAAAGAGGGACUUUAUCGAACAAAACAAACAUUUAUUGGGUAACUGGGAGUCUUGUGAGUGUAACCAUAUGAAGAUCAUCAAAGGUCUGGAUAUGAAUGUCUCUGGGCUCUACAGUGCAACCUGCAUACCGCCAGCUGCCAGCCAGGGCCCGGAUUCCCAAAAGCAUCUUAAGGCUAAGUUCAUCAUUAGAGCCGUGGUAGGAGCAUCGUGAAAAAUCAGAGCUGUUUCCCAAAACCAUCGUUACUAACGGUGCACUUGAAAACGCUCGUAAUCUAACGCCUGGCUCAGACCACUCGUAGAACAGCU
This 596-nucleotide long non-coding RNA is filed under the name Salmo salar (Atlantic salmon). Its description in RNAcentral is "lncRNA (ENSSSAG00000088535.1)". Lineage: Eukaryota; Metazoa; Chordata; Actinopteri; Salmoniformes; Salmonidae. The record is from RNAcentral.